RNAcentral lists this long non-coding RNA (420 nucleotides) under Gossypium barbadense (sea-island cotton). RNAcentral describes it as "long non-coding RNA (GBAR_LNC006756)". The record is from RNAcentral. Lineage: Eukaryota; Viridiplantae; Streptophyta; Magnoliopsida; Malvales; Malvaceae.
UCUGGGAUCCAUGUAAUACGUUUUUUUUUGGGGGGAUAAAACUGAUGAAAGACAAAGAAUAUUGAUUUCAUGUCCUUAUCAGUUGAGUAAAAUAAAUAAAUUUUCUGUUAAGCUUUAAUUGUUCCUCUAGUUUUGGGUUAAUCUAAUAAUUUGGUUUAGUGUAGGAUUUGAAGAAUUCUUUGAUUAAAGUUGAGGCCAAGUUAAAAAUUGACUACAUAUAUAGUUCCUUUCAAUUCUGGGAUCUUUUUGCUUACAAUAUUCAUGUUUUUUUUUUUUUAAAUACAGAUCAGAUUCAAACAAAGGUUAUAAGAUGGGAUCAGGUGAAUGGUGCCUUCAAAAAAGAGAUAGUUUAAGGAGUGAUUCAUUUUCAGGCAAUGAGAAUGUGCCUGAAACUGGUUGUCUCUCAAUAAUUGUUCUUGG